Molecule: long non-coding RNA, 349 nt
Organism: Lepisosteus oculatus (spotted gar)
Lineage: Eukaryota; Metazoa; Chordata; Actinopteri; Semionotiformes; Lepisosteidae
Source: RefSeq, a predicted model, not a curated record
CCCAGUGCUGACUAAAUCGAGCCUCGCCGCGCUUCCGAGACCUGACAGAUCCGGCUACAAGAUGGUAACACUGGUGGCAUCUGCACCAUCUGUCACGCUGUAAAUCUUGCUCAUGUAAUAAGGGACAGAGGAGCUUCAUGCAAACAACUUAAAGCAAUUAAUAUUCAUCCAUGAUGGCUAAAUGACUUCAGGCUUUUCAUGUAACACUCCUUUCAGCUGCCACUAUGAAGAAAGAGAAAUCGUCAGCCAAAAAUCAAGAAAUCGGACUUUCAGCUGCAGUAUCUAAGCUUUGCAGAGUCCUAAGCAGAAAACAAGAAAAGCAGAAGCUUGCAGGAGGCAGCCAGCCGGU